This is a non-coding RNA of Drosophila virilis, 933 nucleotides long. The record is from Rfam. Lineage: Eukaryota; Metazoa; Arthropoda; Insecta; Diptera; Drosophilidae.
CAACCUCAACUCAUAUGGGACUACCCCCUGAAUUUAAGCAUAUUAAUUAGGGGAGGAAAAGAAACUAACAAGGAUUUUCUUAGUAGAGGCGAGCGAAAAGAAAUCAGUUCAGCACUAAGUCACUUUGUCUAUAUGGCAAAUGUGAGAUGCAGUGUACGGAACAUCAACAUUCUAGUAUGAGAAGUUAACGAUUUAAGUCCUUCUUAAAUGAGGCCAUUUACCCAUAGAGGGUGCCAGGCCCGUAUAACGUUAAUGAUUACUAGAUGGUGUUUCCAAAGAGUCGUGUUGCUUGAUAGUGCAGCACUAAGUGGGUGGUAAACUCCAUCUAAAACUAAAUAUAACCAUGAGACCGAUAGUAAACAAGUACCGUGAGGGAAAGUUGAAAAGAACUCUGAAUAGAGAGUUAAAUAGUACGUGAAACUGCUUAGAGGUUAAGCCCGAUGAACCUGAAUAUCCGUUAUGGAAAAUUCAUCAUUAGAAUUGUAAUAUUUUAAACAAUAUUAUAAUAAUAGUGUGCAUUUUUUCCAUAUAAGGACAUUGUAAUCUAUUAGCAUAAAUAUUUAUCAUAAAAUUAUGUCUGAUUGCUUAUUUGAAUUAUAUGCUUGGCAUUUUAACAUAAAAUAAAAGAUAUAAAUUUGAUAAAGUGCUGAUAGAUUUAUAUGAUUACAGUGCGUUAAUUUUUCGGAAUUAUAUAAUGGCAUAAUUAUCAUUGAUAUUUGUGUUUAUUAUAUGCAUUUGUAUGAUUAACAAUGCUAAAGAUUCAAGAUACCUUCGGGACCCGUCUUGAAACACGGACCCAGGAGUCUAACAUAUGUGCCAGUUAUUGGGAAUAAACCUUAUAACCGUUAUUAACUUGACUAUUAUUGGGAUUUAUUUUUUAACCUAUUUAUAGUGAUGUAACGCAAUCACGGGGCGCUCUAUCUAAUUAUGUAU